This 1109-nucleotide long non-coding RNA is filed under the name Lepidothrix coronata (blue-crowned manakin). Its description in RNAcentral is "lncRNA (ENSLCOG00000013933.1)". Lineage: Eukaryota; Metazoa; Chordata; Aves; Passeriformes; Pipridae. The record is from RNAcentral.
GGUGCUGGACAAGGGAACUAUUAGUUGCUCUGCUCUUGGAGGUCCUGGCAAUGGGAUGGUGGCAGAUACCCUCCCCACUCAUGUCUACUUACAGCUCCCAAAUGAAUUCUUGAAGCUUGUAAGAGAUUUCUGGGUGACUACAGAACAGGUAAAAGAUAACUUGCUUCCUAAAACUGCUCCACCACUGAUCUGUUUUCUUAGGAGAGACGACUUUCUGUUUUACUUUGCAGUCAGCUAACAGUAAAAUGUAAUGGUUUUUCUUCUAGGUUACCUACCAAGGACACAAAAUACAUGGGAAGGCCAGAUCGCUGACAGCUGCUUUCUACAAGAGCAUGCAAGUCCCUCUUGAGAUGAAUGAUUGGAAUGGGGAUACGCAUCCUGCUUUCACUGGAGGAUCCACAUCAAGGAGCCCCAAAUAGGACACCUAUGCUGGGACUCUGCCCCAAAGGGAUCAUACAAAUCCUAUGUUCUCUGAUAGCUCCCAGGAGCCUCAUUUGCCUCUGUGGUGGGAUUUGAACUCUGGGAUUACACUGCCUAUGUACUGGAUGGUGGGCUCAGUCCCCUUUUCCUCUUAUCCCCCAUACUGGGGACCACAUUGAAAGAGACAGUGCCAAAUUCAGACCUGGACCUGAGGCUUGCACAGCACAAGGAGUACAUUUGGCCCAUAUUACGUGGCAGGAACAUGAAUUUCAUGCAACAUACCCUUAAGUAACUUCUGGAUCAAAUGAUAUGGCUGCAUUUUUCUUCUACUAAGUCAAAGCAAGGUCUUCUUUCAAAGUAUCAUGUUUCAAAACUUCUAGUAUGACACUUCAAUUCUAGUACAUGUCCAUUUGUAAAUAGCAUCUAGAAAUGAGCUUCUAAAUAUUGGUACUCAAGAUGAAUUGGUCCCUCUUCCAGUGGCACCAAUCAGGAAUCAGCAGUUGAUGAGGAUCUUCACGGUCUCACUCAGAGUUGGUCCAUGCUCUCCAUGCUUCCUAAGCAGCUAUGCUGCCUCUUACACUCCACCACCCUUCACCACCCACCUCUCCCGUGCCAUUUCUCUGUGUGAAGGGUUAUUUUGUCAGUAGCAGUUUUGCUCCAGCUGGGCUUCCAGGAUUAUGCCUGAAGUU